AUUAACAUCAGUUUGAAAAUAUAAAACUUCCUUUAUUCAUACGCGGCGCCACAACGUUUCUUUAUCAUCAUUAUUAUCCUUUUUUUAUAUAAUUUUGCUAUCGUUGAGUCCAAAAUUCAAAUGACUUUGACACAUUUUUAUAUGUAUAUUAAUUCUAUACCAAUUAUUCGUUUCGAUGAAAAGAAAUAGUGAUAAUAAUACCAAUCACCAAUGUAAAAAAAAAAAAAUCCCUUCUUUGAAGAUUGAAUCACACUAUAUAUAUACAGUAUGCUAACUUUCUAUAUUUUUAGAAAGACAUAUUAUUUAAUAUCAUGAUUCAUGGAUUUAGUUGUAGAUAUGUUUCUUUGAAUUUAUUUUGUAAAAUCAAAUCAUUUUAGUUGUAUAUUUGUUUCUUUGAAAGUUAUUGAUAGAUC
RNAcentral lists this long non-coding RNA (413 nucleotides) under Capsella rubella. RNAcentral describes it as "long non-coding RNA (CRUB_LNC002826)". Lineage: Eukaryota; Viridiplantae; Streptophyta; Magnoliopsida; Brassicales; Brassicaceae. The record is from RNAcentral.